UACGUAGGGGGCAAGCGUUGUCCGGAAUUAUUGGGCGUAAAGGGCUCGUAGGCGGUUUGUCGCGUCGGGAGUGAAAUCAUCUGGCUUAACUGGGUGCUUGCUUUCGAUACGGGCAGACUAGAGGUAUGCAGGGGAGAACGGAAUUCCUGGUGUAGCGGUGAAAUGCGCAGAUAUCAGGAAGAACACCAAUGGCGAAAGCAGCUCUCUGGGACGGUACUGACGCUGAGACGCGAAAGCGUGGGGAGCGAACAGG
This 253-nucleotide ribosomal RNA is filed under the name uncultured bacterium. RNAcentral describes it as "partial 16S ribosomal RNA". It matches the Rfam family "Bacterial small subunit ribosomal RNA", at positions 524 to 776 of the family's 1533-position model. The record is from RNAcentral.